GACGAACGCUGGCGGCGUGCUUAACACAUGCAAGUCGAGCGGGCCUUGUCCCCUUUUUUUUUGGGGGUGGGGUUAGUGGCGAACGGGUGAGUAACACGUGAGUAACCUGCCCCUCACUUCUGGAUAACCGCUUGAAAGGGUGGCUAAUACGGGGUGUUCUGGCCUGCUCGCAUGGGUGGGUUUGGAAAGAUUCGACCGGUUUUGGUUGUUUUGGUGGGGGAUGGGCUCGCGGCCUAUCAGCUUGUUGGUGGGGUGAUGGCCUGCCAAGGCUUUGACGGGUAGCCGGCCUGAGAGGGUGGGCGGUCACACUGGGACUGAGACACGGCCCAGACUCCUACGGGAGGCAGCAGUGGGGAAUAUUGCACAAUGGGCGCAAGCCUGAUGCAGCGACGCCGCGUGAGGGAUGGAGGCCUUCGGGUUGUGAACCUCUUUCGCCAGUGAAGAAGGUCCUGCUCUUUGUGGUGGGGUUGACGGUAGCUGGGUUAAUGAAGCGCCGGCUAACUACGU
Molecule: ribosomal RNA, 507 nt
Filed under: uncultured bacterium
Lineage: Bacteria
Description: partial 16S ribosomal RNA
Rfam family: Bacterial small subunit ribosomal RNA
Source: RNAcentral